This 292-nucleotide ribosomal RNA is filed under the name uncultured bacterium. RNAcentral's name for it is "partial 16S ribosomal RNA". It matches the Rfam family "Bacterial small subunit ribosomal RNA", at positions 505 to 796 of the family's 1533-position model. The record is from RNAcentral.
GUGUCAGCAGCCGCGGUAAUACGGAGGAUGCAAGCGUUAUCCGGAAUUAUUGGGCGUAAAGCGUCCGCAGGUGGUUUUACAAGUCUGCUGUCAAAGCGUGGAGCUUAACUCCAUAAAGGCAGUGGAAACUGUGAGACUAGAGUUCGGUAGGGGUUACGGGAAUUCCCAGUGUAGCGGUGAAAUGCGUAGAUAUUGGGAAGAACACCAGCGGCGAAAGCGCGUAACUGGGCCUGAACUGACACUGAGGGACGAAAGCUAGGGGAGCGAAAGGGAUUAGAUACCCCCGUAGUCC